CAGCCGCCGCGGGAAUACGGAGGGUGCAAGCGUUAAUCGGAAUUACUGGGCGUAAAGCGCACGCAGGCGGUCUGACAAGUCAGAUGUGAAAUCCCCGGGCUUAACCUGGGAACUGCAUUUGAAACUGUCAGGCUGGAGUCUUGCAGAGGGGGGUAGAAUUCCAGGUGUAGCGGUGAAAUGCGUAGAGAUCUGGAGGAAUACCGGUGGCGAAGGCGGCCCCCUGGACAAAGACUGACGCUCAGGUGCGAAAGCGUGGGGAGCAAACAGGAUUAGAUACCCCUGUAGUUCCUGUCUCUUAUAC
This 301-nucleotide ribosomal RNA is filed under the name uncultured bacterium. RNAcentral's name for it is "partial 16S ribosomal RNA". It matches the Rfam family "Bacterial small subunit ribosomal RNA", at positions 509 to 807 of the family's 1533-position model. The record is from RNAcentral.